This 460-nucleotide ribosomal RNA is filed under the name uncultured bacterium. RNAcentral describes it as "partial 16S ribosomal RNA". It matches the Rfam family "Bacterial small subunit ribosomal RNA", at positions 338 to 795 of the family's 1533-position model. The record is from RNAcentral.
CCUACGGGCGGCAGCAGUGAGGAAUAUUGGUCAAUGGACGAGAGUCUGAACCAGCCAAGUAGCGUGAAGGAUGACUGCCCUAUGGGUUGUAAACUUCUUUUAUAAAGGAAUAAAACGAGGCACGUGUGCCUCUUUGCAUGUACUUUAUGAAUAAGGAUCGGCUAACUCCGUGCCAGCAGCCGCGGUAAUACGGAGGAUCCGAGCGUUAUCCGGAUUUAUUGGGUUUAAAGGGAGCGUAGAUGGGUUGUUAAGUCAGUUGUGAAAGGUUGCGGCUCAACCGUAAAAUUGCAAUUGAUACUGGCAGUCUUGAGUACAGUUGAGGUAGGCGGAAUUCGUGGUGUAGCGGUGAAAUGCUUAGAUAUCACGAAGAACCCCGAUUGCGAAGGCAGCUUACUAAACUGUGACUGACAUUGAUGCUCGAAGGUGUGGGUAUCAAACGGGAUUAGAUACCCUAGUAGUC